CGUCAACGACCCCACCGCCUGCCCGCUGCCCGGUCACGGCAACAGUCCCAUCACGGCGGGCUCCCCCGACGU
This 72-nucleotide small RNA is filed under the name Pseudomonas flexibilis. RNAcentral's name for it is "Pseudomonas sRNA P10". It matches the Rfam family "Pseudomonas sRNA P10". The record is from RNAcentral. Lineage: Bacteria; Pseudomonadati; Pseudomonadota; Gammaproteobacteria; Pseudomonadales; Pseudomonadaceae.